Molecule: ribosomal RNA, 253 nt
Filed under: uncultured bacterium
Lineage: Bacteria
Description: partial 16S ribosomal RNA
Rfam family: Bacterial small subunit ribosomal RNA
Source: RNAcentral
UACGAGGGGGGCAACCGUUAUUCGGAAUCACUGGGCUUAAAGGGCGCGUAGGCGGGCCGCCAGGUCCGGGGUGAAAGCCUCCAGCUCAACUGGAGAAGUGCCUUGGAUACCGGCGGCCUCGAGGGAGGUAGGGGCGUGCGGAACUUCGGGUGGAGCGGUGAAAUGCGUAGAUAUCCGAAGGAACACCGGUGGCGAAAGCGGCGCGCUGGAUCUCUUCUGACGCUGAGGCGCGAAAGCCAGGGGAGCAAACGGG